CGAUGCGGCUCUUUCAUGCAUUCGACCGCGACACGGGGGCACCCUGGAUGGCGAGUGGCGAACGGUUGAGUAAUGCAUCAUAACUUGUCCCGUAGUGGGGGAUAACCCAGCGAAAGCUGGGCUAAUACCGGAUAUGCUCUACGGACGAAAGUGGGGGACCUGCAAGGGGCUCACGCUAUGGGAGCGGCCGAUGUCCGAUUAGCUUGUUGGUGGGGUAAUGGCCUACCAAGGCGACGAUCGGUAGCUGGUCUGAGGGAUGAUCAGCCACACUGGGACUGACACACGGCCCACACUCCUACUGGAGGCACUCCUGGGGAAUUUUGGACAAUGGGGGCAACCCUGAUCCAGCCAUGCCGCGUGAGUGAAGAAGGCCUUCGGGUUGUAAAGCUCUUUUGGUCGGGAAGAAAGGGUCUCCGUUAAUACCGGGGACUGUUGACGGUACCGGCAGAAUAAGCACCGGCUAACUACGUGCCAGCAGCCGCGGUAAUACGUAGGGUGCGAGCGUUAAUCGGAAUUACUGGUCGUAAAGCCUGCGCUUGCGGUUCGUUAAGUCUGAUGUGAAAGCCUCGGGCUCAACCUGUCAAUGGCAUUGAAAACUGGCGGGCUCGAGUAUGGUGCAUGGCUGUGGAACUCCACGUGUAACCUUGAAAUGCAUAGAGAUGUGGCAUAACUCCGAUGGCGAACGCAGCCGCCUGGGUCAAUACUGACGCUCGCGCACGACAGCGAGGGGAGCAAACUAGAUUAGAUACCCUGAUAGUCCACGCCCUAAACCAUGAUCACUAAGUGUUGGGGAAGCGAUUCCUUGCUACCCAACCUAACGCGUGAAGUGAUCCGCCUGGAGAGUAGCGUCGCGAGAUUUAAACUCACAGGAAUAGACCG
RNAcentral lists this ribosomal RNA (879 nucleotides) under uncultured beta proteobacterium. Its description in RNAcentral is "bacterial SSU rRNA". It matches the Rfam family "Bacterial small subunit ribosomal RNA", at positions 40 to 916 of the family's 1533-position model. Lineage: Bacteria; Pseudomonadati; Pseudomonadota; Betaproteobacteria. The record is from RNAcentral.